Molecule: long non-coding RNA, 281 nt
Filed under: Homo sapiens (human)
Lineage: Eukaryota; Metazoa; Chordata; Mammalia; Primates; Hominidae
Description: HSALNT0285876
Source: RNAcentral
UAGUGGUAUGGAAUGUAUGAUCUUUAUUAAUUUUUAAUCCAUCAAUCUAAAAUCACACAUACUAGAUCAAACAGAAGUACCACAGUAUGCUUUAUUUUGCAGGUAUUAAUUGGUUCUCUAAAUCGAUACAUCCAAAACUUUAGUUAGCAGCAAGCAUCAGUUCUUCCAAAGCAGCUUAGGUGAAAAACAAUUGUUUACAUUCACCAGUUCAAAGUCGUACUGUCUGAUCCACUGUUGUAUUGACAUAAAAUUGCACGUUGAUGUUCUUUUGAACAAGUUUG